AUGGAUAUGAUGAUUAUUUCCCUAGAUGAUCGAAUCUGAUAUAACUGAGCGUUCAUUUUUUGUUUCUUCUUCUGGAGAAAAAUCCAAGCCAGAAAUCUAAUCCGU
Non-coding RNA from Helianthus annuus (common sunflower), 105 nucleotides. NCBI's taxonomy places the organism in Eukaryota, Viridiplantae, Streptophyta, Magnoliopsida, Asterales, Asteraceae. The record is from Rfam.